UACGGGGGGGGCAAGCGUUGUUCGGAAUUACUGGGCGUAAAGGGCUCGUAGGCGGCCAACUAAGUCCGACGUGAAAUCCCCAGGCUUAACCUGGGAACUGCGUCGGAUACUGGAUGGCUUGAAUUCGGGAGAGGGAUGCAGAAUUCCAGGUGUAGCGGUGAAAUGCGUAGAUAUCUGGAGGAAUACCGGUGGCGAAGGCGGCAUCCUGGACCGGCAUUGACGCUGAGGAGCGAAAGCUAGGGGAGCAAACGGG
RNAcentral lists this ribosomal RNA (253 nucleotides) under uncultured bacterium. RNAcentral's name for it is "partial 16S ribosomal RNA". It matches the Rfam family "Bacterial small subunit ribosomal RNA", at positions 524 to 776 of the family's 1533-position model. The record is from RNAcentral.